UUAGCUCAGUUGGUAGAGCAGCGGUCUUUUAAACCGCAGGUCGCGGGUUCGAGCCCCGCAG
RNAcentral lists this transfer RNA (61 nucleotides) under human gut metagenome. It matches the Rfam family "tRNA", at positions 7 to 64 of the family's 71-position model. Rfam says of the family: Transfer RNA (tRNA) molecules are approximately 80 nucleotides in length. Their secondary structure includes four short double-helical elements and three loops (D, anti-codon, and T loops). The record is from RNAcentral. RNAcentral also lists the same sequence under 1 other name.